AUGUGCACAACUCUGGAAAGCGCUGAUAAAGAAAUAAGCCAUAGCAACUGCGAAUCAAACAAGGAAGUGGACCAUGUAAACCAUGAAAGCGCAAAACCUGUAAUGUGUGAUGAAUCUGAAAAGGAACAGCCGACAGUCCACAUGAGUCAAGCCUCAGGUCAGUCUCCGGCCUUGUCCGCACACCCACACAAUGCGUGCCACACAGACCAGGUUGGAAAACAUUUGAGUUCUGUGGGAGUUGAGUCUACAGUCUCCUCUCCAAAAGACACAAUGUUAGAGAAAAGUCAAAUUCCACAAAAAGAUGAUGCACUGCUUUGCACUGUAGCACAGGAACAGAGAACCUCACGCGCAGAGGAAAGUAUGGGGUUGUCGGUACCACAAACAUUAUCUGAUGAACACAAACCUGGCCCUGCAAAUGUCACUUUGCAAUGUCAGGGAAACAGUGGGAGGACUAAUUGUGAAGAGAACUGUGCAAAGUUUGGAGAUGAAGACAAUCUGUGCUUUGGAAAUUCAAAUAAAUCAGUCGCCAGAAGCAAUCUUCAACUGUCCAUGGUGUCCCUCAGUUUAUCUCAAACAAACCCGGCCUCUGGAAUGGUGGGACUGUCUGAUGGGCCAACUCUGUCACAUGUAGCUGACUCAAAACAAACUGCAUCUGUAGCUUCAGCGCCUACAAAAGCACCCGCAGCCACAGCUUCAAAAACGGUACCAGACCACACUACAGGGAGUAGCGAGGAAAGCUCUCUGGUUGGAAGUGCGGAGCUGCAGUCAGACACUGGGGCCCUGCAGCAGCAGUGUGGGCAAAGCCAUGAGCCUCCGGCGACAUCUACAGAGAGCUUGACUUACAUGCAACUGGACAACAUGCAGGCACAGGAGGCCGGUGACAGGACAAAUUCCAUUCCAAACUGCUGGCCAUUGGAGCAGCAACAUCUUCUGCACCUUUCCCAGACUCGAUCAGGAAUGUGUGGGUACCCACCACAGAGCUCUGGCAUGGAUCCAAACCUACAGUCCAGCAGCCAUCACUUCAGCGAUCCCCAACCAACCUUGCUGCUAAAGACUAACUCCCAUAUGACACAGCACACAGAAAGUGGCUCGUAUACAAGUCACAUAAAUCCAAAUGAACCACCCCAAAGUAAGACCAUGAUUGGAUGUCAGGAUGGAUUUGUACAGUCUCAAAAGCUAGACCAAAGACAGGUUUGUGGAGCUGGGAAUACCAUUGUAAACUCUGGUACGACUUACUUGACAACAGCGUUUACGUCUCAAAGCCAUAUCAAUGAAAAGCCAGGUACUUAUCAGUCCAAUUGUUCAGUAUUUGUUAACCCGCCAAGGCAGACCAAUGUUGUAUACCCUGAGCACAUGUGCCAAGAGGAGCCACCAGAGCCAUGUGACAGAUUCCCGCCCUUGUUUGGAGUGGGUAAUUCGUUCAGUUACUCCCAUGACAGCCUGAGUGGUGCAGUCAGGGUGGUGCAGAGUAGUAUAGAUGCGGAGGACAGCAGCAGUGAUGAUGAAGGGAAACUCAUCAUCGAGCUAUAGGAUAUGACAAUCAAUAAGUCAGUAUUUAUUUACAGGCCCGUGAGGCAGCUGGAUCGCAUUGUGUGUAAAUAUAUACAUAUAUAUUAUUUAUUUGCAUACUUGUUCACUGCAAAUAUUUCAAAAAUAUUUUCUCUUUCACACAUGUCUUUCGAAAAAGUAAGAAAUGUGCCCCGGUCAUAAACAUGCUUUGUCAGUUCUGCAAGUUAUUCGCCAACAUGCCAUUUUUAGUGUUGUAUUAUUUGCUUCAUGUAACCAUGGUGUCUUUACGCAAUUAUUACAGUAUUUACCUGGCUUUUCUGCACAAAUACACCUUUUUAUGAUUUAGUUAUACACAUUCGGUCAAACAGAACAUAAGUAAAUGAUUAUACAAACCUGAGACUGUUUUGCAUCAUUAUUUUUCCCAUAUGUCUAAUUCUCUUUUGGGUUUUCUGUUUGUGCUUGUUGUAUGUCAUUAAUUCUUGUGACUUUAGUACAUUGUUUAAAAAAAUAAAGUUAAAGUAAAAGUUUGAAUUAUUUUUUUCUGUGCAAACUAAUCCAUUGUAACCC
Long non-coding RNA from Neogobius melanostomus (round goby), 2076 nucleotides. The record is from Ensembl. Lineage: Eukaryota; Metazoa; Chordata; Actinopteri; Gobiiformes; Gobiidae.